AACAAACGCUGGCGGCGUGCCUAAUACAUGCAAGUCGAACGGGGAAAGCUUUCGGGUGAGUACUAGUGGCGCACGGGUGAGGAACGCGUGGAUAAUCUGCCUUAGAGUGGGGGAUAACUAGUCGAAAGAUUAGCUAAUACCGCAUAAGACCACGAGAGCUGCGGCUUUUGAGGUCAAAGGUUUUUCGCUCUAAGAUGAGUCCGCGUAAGAUUAGCUAGUUGGUGAGGUAACGGCUCACCAAGGCGACGAUCUUUAACUGGUCUGAGAGGAUGAUCAGUCACACUGGGACUGAGACACGGUCCAGCCUCCUACGGGAGGCAGCAGUAGGGAAUAUUGCACAAUGGAGGAAACUCUGAUGCAGCGACGCCGCGUGGGUGAUGAAGGCCUUCGGGUCGUAAAGCUCUGUCGCAGGGGAAUAACACAAUGAAGGUACCCUGUAAGAAAGGAUCGGCUAACUUCGUG
Molecule: ribosomal RNA, 462 nt
Filed under: uncultured bacterium
Lineage: Bacteria
Description: partial 16S ribosomal RNA
Rfam family: Bacterial small subunit ribosomal RNA
Source: RNAcentral